This 66-nucleotide transfer RNA is filed under the name Desmopachria sp. ITV9392. RNAcentral describes it as "tRNA-Gly". RNAcentral also lists the same sequence under 1 other name. Lineage: Eukaryota; Metazoa; Arthropoda; Insecta; Coleoptera; Dytiscidae. The record is from RNAcentral.
AUUUAUAUAUUAUAUUCAGUAUAUUUAACUUCCAAUUAAAUGGUCUAAUUUAUUUUAGUAUAAAUA